UUUGAUUUUUUAUGAUGAGUUCAUAGUUCAACUGAUUUAAACUGAAGAAUACUUGCAAUGUCUUUCGCUCCUAUCUGAUAAUUUUC
This is a small nucleolar RNA of Nomia melanderi (Alkali bee), 86 nucleotides long. RefSeq annotates it as small nucleolar RNA snR60/Z15/Z230/Z193/J17. The record is from RefSeq and is a predicted model, not a curated record. NCBI's taxonomy places the organism in Eukaryota, Metazoa, Arthropoda, Insecta, Hymenoptera, Halictidae.